GACGAACGCUGGCGGCGUGCUUAACACAUGCAAGUCGAACGCUUAAGCUCAGCUUGCUGGGUGGAUGAGUGGCGAACGGGUGAGUAACACGUGAGUAACCUGCCCUCUUCUUUGGGAUAACGCCCGGAAACGGGUGCUAAUACUGGAUAUUCACUGAUUCUCGCAUGGGGGUUGGUGGAAAGGUUUUUUCUGGUGGGGGAUGGGCUCGCGGCCUAUCAGCUUGUUGGUGGGGUGAUGGCCUACCAAGGCUUUGACGGGUAGCCGGCCUGAGAGGGUGACAGGUCACAUUGGGACUGGGAUACGGCCCAGACUACUACGGGAGGCAGCAGUGGGGAAUAUUGCACAAUGGGCGAAAGCCUGAUGCAGCGACGCCGCGUGAGGGAUGGAGGCCUUCGGGUUGUAAACCUCUUUCGCUCAUGGUCAAGCCGCAGCUUUGGGUUGUGGUGAGGGUAGUGGGUAAAGAAGCGCCGGCUAACUACGUG
Molecule: ribosomal RNA, 482 nt
Filed under: uncultured bacterium
Lineage: Bacteria
Description: partial 16S ribosomal RNA
Rfam family: Bacterial small subunit ribosomal RNA
Source: RNAcentral